AUGGAGCUUGUCUAAGGUAAGUCCUUGCUAGGUGAGCUUCUGCUUUAAAGCAUCAAGUUGUAUAAAGAAGGUAAUUUUAAAAGCAAGGUUGCCAGUUCUUUUUUUACCCAAGUGAUUUUUUAGCAAGGAGAGAUUUGAGGUUCUGUUUGGUAAUGGAAGAUGGAGAGAGGAAAAGCUGUGCAUAGCCAGCGCAUCCCAUCUGCACCGUUGUUCCCAUGCACAAAGGAGAGGAGCAUCUCAGCAAGCAUGGCCUGGGCCAUGGAAGGGAGCAUACAGACAUCUGGACCAACCCGAAAGGAGUUAGUUCUGCAGGAAUGUCCCAGAGCAUUGUGGUUUCAGCUGUCACAACGCUUUGAUCCCUUGCUUGCUGGGCUGGGGCGUUUGAGGAAUGAUGCAUGUGCUGAUGUGCAGCCAGGCACUAGGGAUGAGUCUGCUUAGCAAGGAGGGCAGGUGGUGAACCUCAUGAAGCAAUGCCUGCAGACGGGGCUUGCGGAGCAAGAGGU
Gallus gallus (chicken) is the source of this 503-nucleotide long non-coding RNA. RefSeq lists it as uncharacterized. The transcript has 3 exons. Lineage: Eukaryota; Metazoa; Chordata; Aves; Galliformes; Phasianidae. The record is from RefSeq and is a predicted model, not a curated record.